This 109-nucleotide small RNA is filed under the name Alcanivorax borkumensis. RNAcentral describes it as "t44 RNA". It matches the Rfam family "t44 RNA". From Rfam's summary of the family: This family consists of a number of bacterial RNA genes of between 135 and 170 bases in length. The t44 gene is found between the map and rpsB genes in all species in the full alignment apart from Shigella flexneri. RNAcentral also lists the same sequence under 1 other name. Lineage: Bacteria; Pseudomonadati; Pseudomonadota; Gammaproteobacteria; Oceanospirillales; Alcanivoracaceae. The record is from RNAcentral.
AUGAGUGGGGAAGGAAAUCACACAUGCCCCGUCACAUAGCCCUGGGUGCCUUCUGGUCUGUAAGUUAGGCCGAUUUGGUUGGGUUUAUGCGGGGGCGUGGAGGCCUAAC